AGAGUGAAGAAGUACGCUUAAUUCUGUUCCUACCAACCAAGCAUUAGGAACAAAAUUGAGAGAGAGAGAUUCGGUCACACCAUUUUAUCUCAAAAAACCCAACCGAGUGAGAGGAAAAGAAAACAGAGAACAAAGCUUUCUUUCUUCUUCAUACCCAAAACCGUGAGAAAGAGUGAGAGUGAAGGAGCAUUUCUGGUUCCUUCCAGCCACAACCAAGUGAGUAAGAGAACUGAAUGAGUGAUAAGAGGAGGAAGCUAACUCAGAAUUUCACAUAUCAGCUACCAUAGUGAGGAGGAACCGAAGCUAGGAGUAGGAGCAAUCUGCCACUAGUAAAACUUAGCAGAAAAAGGUAAGAAUCUUGUAACCACCCUUUUAUUUCUUGAAUAGAACUGAAUAUAUGGGCUUCAUGUUAGUUUUAGCAAGGCAUAAUGAGUUUUAACCGAGGAGAAAUCUGAUAAAGGAGAAAGAGAUGAGAACUGGACAGAAAUGGAGGGAACCGAGAGUUGUUGUUGAGUUGCAGCCCAUAAUAAAGGAAAUUUUCCGUAAUAACCUCUUAGUUAUUCAGUACACUUGAAUAUUAAGGUUGCAUGUUGGAUUGUAGCUAAGAAAAACUAAGUUUGGUUGAAGGAAAUAGUUGGAAGUUUCUGCUAUGCUGGCCGAAGGAGGAAAGAUAGAAAUGUCCAAGUUUCUUUAUAUAUUUUGGUUCUAA
This 709-nucleotide long non-coding RNA is filed under the name Coffea arabica (coffee). RNAcentral describes it as "long non-coding RNA (CARA_LNC005678)". The record is from RNAcentral. Lineage: Eukaryota; Viridiplantae; Streptophyta; Magnoliopsida; Gentianales; Rubiaceae.